UACGUAGGGCGCAAGCGUUGUCCGGAAUUAUUGGGCGUAAAGAGCUCGUAGGUGGCUUGUCGCGUCUGCCGUGAAAACCCGAGGCUCAACCUCGGGCGUGCGGUGGGUACGGGCAGGCUAGAGUGUGGUAGGGGAGACUGGAACUCCUGGUGUAGCGGUGAAAUGCGCAGAUAUCAGGAAGAACACCGAUGGCGAAGGCAGGUCUCUGGGCCAUUACUGACGCUGAGAAGCGAAAGCAUGGGUAGCGAACAGAAUUAGAUA
This 261-nucleotide ribosomal RNA is filed under the name uncultured prokaryote. RNAcentral describes it as "partial 16S ribosomal RNA". It matches the Rfam family "Bacterial small subunit ribosomal RNA", at positions 524 to 784 of the family's 1533-position model. The record is from RNAcentral.